Long non-coding RNA from Magallana angulata, 1679 nucleotides. RefSeq lists it as uncharacterized. The transcript is spliced from 3 exons. NCBI's taxonomy places the organism in Eukaryota, Metazoa, Mollusca, Bivalvia, Ostreida, Ostreidae. The record is from RefSeq and is a predicted model, not a curated record.
UGUACAAAAUAGCAGCUAUAAUGCUUAAAGUAUCUGAUAAUAUUAAAAUUAGUUUUCAUACUUAAAUCGACAGAUAGAUAAAACAUUGCCUGUAACACUGCAUAUACCUAACAUAGUUAUCGUUCCUUAACCGCUAGGGUCCCCGUGAGAUAUACUCUUCCGGUCAGGACGGUAGCAAUAGACCGUGGUUAUUUAUAGCCACAGUUUAAAAAUCAGUCAGAAAAAAUUACUUCUAUACAUUCAAGAUCUAAAAUUAAAAAACUGAAAGUUCUAUGAUUACGUAGAGUUGUGAAUAACGACCUUACCAAUCACACACGAUAUUGAAUUAUCAGUUUUUGAUAUAGCUCAGCAACAAAAUCUACUUGAAUUGGUAUUUGACAAAUAUUGAAAGAGCCCCAGAAUUGGGUUUUGAAAUAAAAUAUGUGGUUUUUGUGCCGUUGUGUUCUUUGUACAGUAAUAUAUUUGUCAAUGUUUGAAUUCAUCUUUAUAAUGAAAUAUGCCCAUGUGUACAUUGAGAUUAUAUUAAAAAAUUUGAUAAUUUAACAUGACUUCUCUUUUUAGUUUAUGGCCAUGACGAAGCGCCCAGUACGAACCUGAUAUUUGCCAAAAGUCCGCCAAAAAGUCCAUCAUUCUUGUGCAACACCUGCGGCAGAGGCUUUCGAUCAAGACAGGAGUUAACUGACCAUGUGAAAAUAAAGCAUGGUGCUACAAAGUUUCAAUGUACUGCGUGUUUUAAAGGCCUCUCGACCAAAACUCAUUAUACGUCACAUAUGCAGAAUCAUUUGAACGAAAAGAUGUAUCCAUGUGACCAGUGUGGCUCAAGCUUUGUACAUAAGAAGGAUCUGGUGAACCAUAUAAAUGCCAAACAUGAUCUGAAAAAGUUAUCUUGCACAUACUGUAGCAAGUCGUUUUCCUAUGACAGAGCAUUGAAACGACAUAUUCGUGGUGUACAUGAGAAACAAGUUUUUGUAUGUCAAUAUUGUUCAAAAAGAUUUGGUUACUAUGACAAUUUAAAGAGACACGUGAAAAAUAUUCAUAAACAAUAGGAGCCUGAAUCUCUAGCAAUAUCAUUUUAUGAAAACACAUUGUGUUGUGAAAAAAAAUAAAUCUUCAUCGUUCUUUUAUAGCUCAGGUAUCUUUUGGUGGAUCCAUAUGAAUAGAAAAGUCGAUUGAUUUUGAUAUUCAUUUUGAAAUCAAUGUUCGGGAAAAUGUAUUCAUAGUGUACGUUUUUAAUCAAGAAACUUUCAGAUUAUAAAUUAUGCAUUUUAUUUUAUGUUUAAUCUACCUCAAUUUUUCUUUCUUGAUAAUCGAUGUUCCUGUUUAAUACAUUGUGGUUUUCAAAUCACUAUUAUUCCUCUCUGAAACUGAUGCUGUCGUAUGAAUUAUUUUUAGCGUGUUUUGAAAGAGUUAUAUAAUUGAUUCCAAAAUAAUACUUUCUUGAGGAUAGAGUAUAUGAUAAAUAUAUGUAUAUCAUCGUAAAAGUAGCCAUAAAUGAAGAACCAAAUCAUUGUAAUUAUGAUUAAAUGGCGUUAUGAGAAAUAUUCAAUGUUAUUUUUCUUUUUUGUUAAUCAGACAGACCUUUCUGAUAUCGAAUGUAAGAUUGAAAACUCUUCAAAACGCAACAUACUGUUGUUAAAUUAUUGGUUUCGAUCAUAACUAAAACUUAAGAUCAUGCAAGG